CUCACUUCUUUACCUUCGCCGCGGCGGGCCUCGGACUUGCAGCACGUGCACACCUAGAGGAAGACCCGACAGUCAAUCUGGUUGUUUCCGUUGCUGUGCUCAGGGCAUUGUAGUUUGGAUCAAGAUCAUCUCUUGCUUAAAUGAUUUCUCCAUCUCCAGUUCCCACCCCACCACUUGUGGGAUUAUUCUAAAGUGCAAAUGUGAUCAUUAAAAUGUGUCAUGACUUCCCUGUGCCCCUAAAAUAAGGUACCAACACCUUAACAAGGGUUUCAUUGCCUGGCCUCUUCCUGCUCCUCCAGCCUUCUCUCACUCUGUGUUCCAAUCACUUUCAAAUACUACGUUCUUUUUUUUUUUUUUUUAAUCUUUAAAAUGUUUUUCUUUUAUUGUGAUGAAAUACACAUAACAUAAAAUUUACGAUUUUAAACAUUUUUAAGUGUACACUUCAGUGGCAUUAAUUACAUGCACAUUGUUGUGCAACCGUCACCACGGUCUGUCUCCAGAACUUUUUCAUCUUUCCAAACUGAAACUCUGAACUCUUUGAACAAUAACUCCCCAUCCCUCCAUUGCUUCCAGCCCCUGGCAACCACCAUUCUACUUUCUGUCUCUAUUAACUUGACUACUCUAGGUACCUCGUGUAAGUGGAAUCACACAGUAGUUGUCCUUUUGUGACUGGCUUAUUUCAGUUAGCAUAAUAUCCUCAAGGUUGUACUUUAACACAAGAGGCUGCUUCUUACCUCAAGGCCUUUUUGCCUGUGGAAACAAUGUAAUAAGCAUUCUGAACUCUGCUGAACACAGUCCUGGCUUGCUUUUAAGCGAUGCCGUCCGCCAUACUCUGUCAGUUCUCCCUUUUCGGCUCUGAAAGAUUCUGUAGCUUUCUGUUAGCUUAGUUAUUAGAAGUCCAGCCUAGUGUAGUUAGUCCACUUUAAAACUUCAGUCUCAUAUCAAGUUUACAUUCCUUCCUUCCCCUCAGCACCAGACAGUCUUCAGCGUGGGACUCAGUUUGGGGAACUGGUGCAUUCUGUCCUUUAAUAGAACUCUUUUUUGCUAAUUUAAGCUACUUGUUGUGUUGGGACCUGGAAGAGGGUCUGGGACGAAGGGCAAAACAUCCUUUUACCUAACUGGGCAUGUCAUGGCAAUCAUCAGUUGGUGGUUUGCCUCUCAGGCUAAAGCUGACUGAUGGUGGAUACCGUCCAUUUGGAAGGUGCCCAAAUGCUAACUCUUAUGGGCACAUGGAUUAGUUUCCUGGGAGCUCUCUCCAUCGCACAGUCCCCUGAUGGGACAUCUGCUCCAGCCUAACUGCUUCCCACGAGGCCUCAGGUCCUGCCUUUGGCUGUAUAACUAAGCUCCCCUGGCUACUGGUUUUCUUGGGAGGAGGACCAGCAAGAUGGCUCCAGCUGUGUUGAUUUUCACACUGUUCCUUUGACUUACAGGAAACUCACAUGUCCCUGCUAAACCACAUUGCAGGAGUGACAACCCUUUUUCCCCGUCAACCCUCACUCCUUAUUCCAACGAUCACAGAGAACAGAUCAGCAAGCUCAACAGCAGAUAUCCAGCCACCGACUGAGAUGCAGUCUCUCCUUGCCAACCCAUCAAUUUCUAUGAGUGGUUCCCUCGGAGACCCCUCGCUCGGGGGAGUGUGCCUACACCGGUGAAGGCCCAUGGUAUUAUCAUUAUUUCAGCCUGACAACCCCACCACAUGCGAUCACGUAAGCUCCCCCAAAUUUCACCUCUGAUUUAUCGUUGUUUCUUCCAUACAUUCUGGCUUCAUGUCUUUUGCAAAAUAGAUGCUCAAAUGUUUGGGGAUGAACAAAUAAAUGAAUUAAUGAAAGAACAAAUGAACAAACUUCAAAGGCUGGGAGAAUAUUGAUUUAGGGUGAUCAGAAUGUAGCAGCUUCCAACAGUGAAGACUUCUGCACAAAGGCCUGAAAGGAGUGAGCUUAAAGAACAGAAAGGGAGGGCUUCCCUGGUGGCGCAGUGGUUGAGAGUCCACCUGCUGAUGCGGGGGACACGGGUUCAUGCCCAGGUCCGGGAAGAUCCCACAUGCCUCGGAGCAGCUGGG
Molecule: long non-coding RNA, 2059 nt
Organism: Orcinus orca (killer whale)
Lineage: Eukaryota; Metazoa; Chordata; Mammalia; Artiodactyla; Delphinidae
Exons: 3
Source: RefSeq, a predicted model, not a curated record